CAGUAGCCGCGGGAAUACGAGGGGGGCAAGCGUUGUUCGGAAUUAUUGGGCGUAAAGGGUGCGUAGGCGGUCUGAUAAGUCUGAUGUGAAAUCGAUGGGCUCAACCCAUCGUCUGCAUUAGAAACUGUCGGGCUUGAGUGUGGGAGAGGUGAGUGGAAUUUCCGGUGUAGCGGUGAAGUGCGUAGAGAUCUGGAGGAAUACCGGUGGCGAAGGCGGCCCCCUGGACAAAGACUGACGCUCAGGUGCGAAAGCGUGGGGAGCAAACAGGAUUAGAUACCCGGGUAGUCCCUGUCUCUUAUAA
This 301-nucleotide ribosomal RNA is filed under the name uncultured bacterium. RNAcentral describes it as "partial 16S ribosomal RNA". It matches the Rfam family "Bacterial small subunit ribosomal RNA", at positions 509 to 809 of the family's 1533-position model. The record is from RNAcentral.